RNAcentral lists this long non-coding RNA (463 nucleotides) under Mus pahari (shrew mouse). RNAcentral describes it as "lncRNA (MGP_PahariEiJ_G0005354.1)". The record is from RNAcentral. Lineage: Eukaryota; Metazoa; Chordata; Mammalia; Rodentia; Muridae.
UUUGAUUUUUUUUUUUUUUUUUUUUUUGAUAAGGACUAUGGAGAAGUUUCGCUCAAUGGCUGAAGCCUGCAGAGGGAAGAUAUUUAUCAAAUUAAUUUCCCAGGCUUUGUUCCGGUAAAAAAGAAUCAGCUGAUGCUUCAAAGAAUGUUAAACUUCUAAUGCAAAGAUCCCCCCCUCCCCCUGGUUUUUCUUUCCUGCUCAGUUUCUCAACUACAAAAAUUAAAUACAGCAGGGAUAGACUGAUCAUGGAUAGACUGAUCAUGGCUGAUCCGAUGCAUCGGGGCUGCAGCUGAUAUUCAAGGAAACACAAACCUGGGAUUGGGGGCUCAUCGUUCUGAGACGUGCAGCUUGAUGGUUCACACAAUGAGGCCGAGGUCACACAGAUCACAAGAAGUCACUGUGUGUGUGUGUGUGUGUGUGUGUGUGUGUGUGUGUGACACAUAAAACUGGCUUUUCUAAUGAA